GCCUCCGUGGCACAAUCGGCUAGCGCGUUCGGCUGUUAACCGAAAGGCUGGAGGUUCGAACCCACCGGGAGCGGCA
Non-coding RNA from Araneus ventricosus, 76 nucleotides. Lineage: Eukaryota; Metazoa; Arthropoda; Arachnida; Araneae; Araneidae. The record is from the annotation of a GenBank genome assembly.